UCGAGUUUCAUAUAAAUCCUCAUUGCAUUGUAUCUUUUGUCAAGAAUGACUAAUUUUCCUUCUCAAAUUGUUUUUUUCAACAGCAUUUUGCUGCAGUCAUAAUGCGGAUAAGGGAGCUGAAAACAACAGCUUUAAUAUUUGUGUCCGGUAAAAUGGGAAUUCCAGCUAGUGUCUAGAUUUUUUCCUGUGACAAGGAUGCACAGGCUCAGCCUGUUGCUUGGCGAAGUUUUUUCCGGUGCUCCACGAUGCAACUGCACUGGAACUACGCUGCAACAGGACUUCUGACAGUGGCACAAUCGGAUGUUGAUAAAACCAACCAGAGUUACUUUGGUGAAUUGAAGCUGAAUUACUUGACGAUUGAUUGGAGCCAUGAAGGACUUGUGCCUCUAUGUAUGAUUUUCAAGUUAAUUGGCUGACCUUAUUAAUCUAUCAUUCUUUGUUUGCAUUUGCAAGUGAAAUUGCUGAUUUUAUAGAUGGGUUGCAGGUAAAGAAGGGCCUGUCUGUGAUAAGUGGGUCUUUGGCCAGUAUACUUUUAUGUCCAAUCUCACAUUUAAGCAUGUAGCAAGCUGGUUGUGUGCAUGUGUAUGCAAAAUCAUCAUGCCAUUAGUUUUAGUCUAAAUGCAUAGAUUAAGUUGAAUGUGAUCAAUCUUCAAGGUGGUAUGUUACACUUCAGCUUUGUUGAAUGUAGGAUGGCUAUUUAAGAGUUUUCAAGUUGCUAGUAUGGAAGUCCUUCUUGAUCAGCCUGAUGCCCCAUGCCUCUGUGAAAGAUUUGGAUUUCAGACUUCUCAGACUUUCUCAUGCAGUUCUGAUGGAAAAUUUGUAGCAUCCUUGGGAAGUAGUGGUCCUUGUCGGGUUUGAGACCUAACGUCAUUGAUGGUUGUAGCCAAUUUACCAGGUGAAAAUGGUGAGAUUUUCGGGUUCUGCCGUUUUUCUCAUAAUAGUGAUGAUAAUCAAACCCUACAUUUGACUGCAUUGCAAGGCCAGCAUGGAAUCAUUGUCUCUUGGAACACUAUAACAGAUUAUGGGCAGGCGAUUGGGACCAAGGAUUCUUGGUAGGGCUGAUGAUUCUAUGGUUGUUGAUGCUAGAAGAUGCUUAUUAUGAAGACCAGGUGGAAAUGGUGAUCGAGAAGAUGCUUCAUUAAGUACACAAAUGGUCGGAGAGGGG
This is a long non-coding RNA of Magnolia sinica, 1165 nucleotides long. RefSeq lists it as uncharacterized. The transcript is spliced from 7 exons. Lineage: Eukaryota; Viridiplantae; Streptophyta; Magnoliopsida; Magnoliales; Magnoliaceae. The record is from RefSeq and is a predicted model, not a curated record.